GAUGAAGAACGGCAGCGAAAUGCGAUAAGUAAUGUGAAUUGCAGAAUUCAGUGAAUCAUCGAAUCUUUGAACGCAACUUGCGCCCUCUGGUAUUCCGGAGGGCAUGCCUGUUUGAGUGUCAUGUAGACUCAAUCCCUCGGGUUUCUGAGGAGGUUGGAUUUGGGUGCUUGCCUUCUGGCUCGCCUUAAAGGACUUAGCAGGAUAGCACUGUAGUCGACGUAAUAAGUCUCGUCGGUGAAAGUGUGAUGUCUGCUUACAGAUUGCCCUUGGGCACUUUUGACUCUGACCUCAAAUCAGGUAGGACUACCCGCUGAACUUAAGCAUAUCAAUAAGCGGAGGA
Molecule: unclassified non-coding RNA, 340 nt
Filed under: soil metagenome
Description: partial contains 5.8S ribosomal RNA, internal transcribed spacer 2, and large subunit ribosomal RNA
Rfam family: 5.8S ribosomal RNA (bases 1-121)
Source: RNAcentral